Molecule: long non-coding RNA, 501 nt
Filed under: Trifolium pratense (red clover)
Lineage: Eukaryota; Viridiplantae; Streptophyta; Magnoliopsida; Fabales; Fabaceae
Description: long non-coding RNA (TPRA_LNC013136)
Source: RNAcentral
AUACAAAUUAAAUAUGUUUAUUUCAAUAACAUAUAACACACAAAUAGAACUUAAACUCUUACAAUCAAACUAUUAAAAACGGAAACACACCACACCACACACCAAGUUUAUAGAAGAACAUUUAUUUUUUGCUACUGUACUCAUCUUUCCUUUGCUCUUUUGUUUCAAAGUCAGUGUGACACUUCAAAUACUCAAAAUUUCCACCAUGUGUAGCGGACAUAGUAUCUUUUUCAGCUUUCUGGUCUGCAAAUAUGUCGUUGUUGUCACUUUGGGUGUCGUCGAAGUCUUUGUUGCUGCUGUUGGUGUUGUUGUCGCUUGUUACUGCUGGAGCCAUUAAACCGAACAAAUUUUCUACAACAAAUCAAAUAAAAUGAUAUUAGCUAUGUAAUUUGGGUAUGGAGUAUGGACAUCAACCCUGUUACUUGUUACUUUGUUAUAUAGUUCAAUGUGAACAAAUAAGCAUGAAUGAGAAGUUGCAGCAUACAGUUUGAAUGAUCAAAG